CAGCAGCCACGGGAAUACAGAGGGUGCAAGCGUUAAUCGGAAUUACUGGGCGUAAAGCGCGCGUAGGUGGUUCGCCAAGUUGGAUGUGAAAUCCCCGGGCUCAACCUGGGAACUGCAUCCAAAACUGGCGAGCUAGAGUAUGGUAGAGGGUGGUGGAAUUUCCUGUGUAGCGGUGAAAUGCGUAGAUAUAGGAAGGAACAUCAGUGGCGAAGGCGGCCACCUGGACUGAUACUGACACUGAGGUGCGAAAGCGUGGGGAGCAAACAGGAUUAGAUACCCCCGUAGUCCCUGUCUCUUAUAC
This 301-nucleotide ribosomal RNA is filed under the name uncultured bacterium. RNAcentral describes it as "partial 16S ribosomal RNA". It matches the Rfam family "Bacterial small subunit ribosomal RNA", at positions 509 to 807 of the family's 1533-position model. The record is from RNAcentral.